RNAcentral lists this ribosomal RNA (425 nucleotides) under uncultured bacterium. Its description in RNAcentral is "partial 16S ribosomal RNA". It matches the Rfam family "Bacterial small subunit ribosomal RNA", at positions 354 to 796 of the family's 1533-position model. The record is from RNAcentral.
GUGGGGAAUAUUGGACAAUGGGCGCAAGCCUGACGCAGCCAUGCCGCGUGAAUGAUGAAGGUCUUAGGAUUGUAAAAUUCUUUCACCGGGGACGAUAAUGACGGUACCCGGAGAAGAAGCUCCGGCUAACUUCGUGCCAGCAGCCGCGGUAAUACGAAGGGGGCUAGCGUUGCUCGGAAUUACUGGGCGUAAAGGGCGCGUAGGCGGACAGCUUAGUCAGAGGUGAAAGCCCAGGGCUCAACCUUGGAAUUGCCUUUGAUACUGGCUGUCUUGAGUUUGGGAGAGGUGAGUGGAACUCCGAGUGUAGAGGUGAAAUUCGUAGAUAUUCGGAAGAACACCAGUGGCGAAGGCGACUCACUGGCCCAAUACUGACGCUGAGGCGCGAAAGCGUGGGGAGCAAACAGGAUUAGAUACCCCUGUAGUCC